This 477-nucleotide ribosomal RNA is filed under the name uncultured bacterium. Its description in RNAcentral is "bacterial SSU rRNA". It matches the Rfam family "Bacterial small subunit ribosomal RNA", at positions 15 to 538 of the family's 1533-position model. The record is from RNAcentral.
GAUCAUGGCUCAGAACGAACGCUGGCGGCAGGCCUAACACAUGCAAGUCGAGCGCUCACUUCGGUGGGAGCGGCGGACGGGUUAGUAACGCGUGGGAAUAUACCCUUCUCUACGGAAUAGCCUCGGGAAACUGAGAGUAAUACCGUAUACGCCCUUCGGGGGAAAGAUUUAUCGGAGAAGGAUUAGCCCGCGUUGGAUUAGGUAGUUGGUGGGGUAAUGGCCCACCAAGCCGACGAUCCAUAGCUGGUUUGAGAGGAUGAUCAGCAACACUGGGACUGAGACACGGCCCAGACUCCUACGGGAGGCAGCAGUGGGGAAUCUUAGACAAUGGGGGAAACCCUGAUCUAGCCACGCCGCGUGAGUGACGAAGGCCCUAGGGUCGUAAAGCUCUUUCGCCAGGGAAGAUAAUGACGGUACCUGGUAAAGAAACCCCGGCUAACUCCGUGCCAGCAGCCGCGGUAAUACGGAGGGGGUUAG